This 253-nucleotide ribosomal RNA is filed under the name uncultured bacterium. RNAcentral describes it as "partial 16S ribosomal RNA". It matches the Rfam family "Bacterial small subunit ribosomal RNA", at positions 524 to 776 of the family's 1533-position model. The record is from RNAcentral.
UACGUAGGCAGCGAGCGUUGUUCGGAAUUACUGGGCGUAAAGAGUGUGUAGGCGGUGCUCUAAGUCUGUUGUGAAAUCUCCCGGCUUAACCGGGAGGGUGCGGCGGAAACUGGAGUGCUUGAGGGUGGGAGAGGUAAGCGGAAUUCCUGGUGUAGCGGUGAAAUGCGUAGAUAUCAGGAGGAACACCUGUGGUGUAGACAGCUUACUGGACCACUUCUGACGCUGAGACACGAAAGCGUGGGUAGCAAACAGG